AGUUCUAUAAUAACUGGAGCGGCUAUUUCAAACCAGUGAACUCAAUAUUAAAAUAACUGGAAUGAUAACUGAAGCCAAAAAAUAUUUGUCGUCAUUAUUCGU
This is a long non-coding RNA of Xenia sp. Carnegie-2017, 102 nucleotides long. RefSeq lists it as uncharacterized. The transcript has 3 exons. The record is from RefSeq and is a predicted model, not a curated record. Lineage: Eukaryota; Metazoa; Cnidaria; Anthozoa; Malacalcyonacea; Xeniidae.